RNAcentral lists this non-coding RNA (92 nucleotides) under Firmicutes bacterium CAG:56. RNAcentral describes it as "c-di-GMP-I riboswitch aptamer". It matches the Rfam family "c-di-GMP-I riboswitch aptamer". Rfam says of the family: GEMM was predicted in a large-scale screen for bacterial structured RNA regulatory elements. The record is from Rfam by way of RNAcentral. Lineage: Bacteria; Bacillati; Bacillota. RNAcentral also lists the same sequence under 1 other name.
AUUAUUUAAAGGCAAACUUGUUGAAAAGCAGGGACGCAAAGCCAGAAGGGGGCACCGGCAGAUUUUGGCAGGUGUCCUUUUUGUAUGCCAAA